Molecule: ribosomal RNA, 416 nt
Filed under: uncultured bacterium
Lineage: Bacteria
Description: bacterial SSU rRNA
Rfam family: Bacterial small subunit ribosomal RNA
Source: RNAcentral
UAUUGGUCAAUGGGCGAGAGCCUGAACCAGCCAAGUCGCGUGAGGGACGACUGCCCUAUGGGUUGUAAACCUCUUUUGUAUGGGGGGAAUAAGCUUUAAGAGUAGAGUGAUGACGGUACCAUACGAAUAAGCAUCGGCAAACUCCGGGCCAGCAACCGCGGUAAUGCCGAGGAUGCGAGCGUUAUCCGGAUUUAUUGGGUUUAAAGGGUGCGUAGGCGGCAUUAUAAGUUAGUGGUAAAAUAUUGGGGCUUCACCUCACUACGCCAUUAAUACUGUAGAGCUAGAGAACAGACGAGGUAGGCGGAAUAAGUUAAGUAGCGGUGAAAUGCAUAGAUAUAACUUAGAACACCGAUAGCGAAGGCAGCUUACCAGACUGAGUCUGACGCUGAUGCACGAGAGCAUGGGUAGCGAACAGG